Molecule: ribosomal RNA, 254 nt
Filed under: uncultured bacterium
Lineage: Bacteria
Description: partial 16S ribosomal RNA
Rfam family: Bacterial small subunit ribosomal RNA
Source: RNAcentral
CACGUAGGGGGCGAGCGUUGUCCGGAUUUAUUGGGCGUAAAGAGCUCGUAGGCGGCUCAGUAAGUCAGGUGUGAAAACUCCAGGCUCAACCUGGAGACGCCACUUGAUACUGCUGUGGCUAGAGUCCGGUAGGGGAGCAUGGAAUUCCUGGUGUAGCGGUGAAAUGCGCAGAUAUCAGGAGGAACACCGGUGGCGAAGGCGGGUCUCUGGGCAGUAACUGACGCUGAGGAGCGAAAGCGUGGGGAGCGAGCAGG